Pelodiscus sinensis (Chinese soft-shelled turtle) is the source of this 2812-nucleotide non-coding RNA. The record is from RefSeq and is a predicted model, not a curated record. Lineage: Eukaryota; Metazoa; Chordata; Testudines; Trionychidae.
GCUGCAGAACACAGAAGAACCAGAUUUAGUAGAACCAUUCCACAUUUGCUAACACUUUACAGCCACAAUAGAGCUUCCAAAUUGUCAUAACAAGCUACUAGACACCUCUCCAAAUAGCUAAACACCUGCAUGACGGACAGAGAUGAAAUAACAUAAAAAAGGGAAGAAUCACAGCAUUCCCUCUGAAAGAAUACAUACAUAAAACAGUGACAAUGCAAUGCUUAUUCUUUUGACCAGGGAUUACACAAAAUUCAUGUGGGAGGGACAGAAUUUUACUAAUCAUUUCUCCAUUUUAUUGACCUACUUGUGUUCAAUGCAUUAAAUGCUGCCCUCAGGGACCAGAGGGAAAUAAACUACACAUAAUAUGAAAAUGGAGCUGGUUGGCUGAAGACAGGUGGAGUGGUUCUUUUAAUUAUUAAUAGUCCACAUCCCUGAGGGAUCAUUAAGUGAGGUACCAUGUCCCUCCCACCCCCAAGAGCUAGCGCUGUGCUUAAACUGUAUCUCCUUUGACAGAGUCUGAAUCAUCUGUCAAUUAGAAAACAUGGCCAUCUCUUCUAGGGGAAGAAAAGACAGGCAUUAGACAAUCAGAAGGGUAAUUUUAUUGUGGUUAUUUCUGUACUUUGCCUUCUAAUUCCCUGCUGGGAGCAAAUGCGCCAUUAAAGAAUUUCUGCUCGUUGGGCACAGUUGGAAAGAGAAAAAUGCUGAAUAACCACAGUUAGCUUAUGCUGCUAGUUUUGCAAUCAGAAGCUUUGUGUUGGUGUUGAAGAGAUAUUAAUACAGUGAUGGUCAAUCUAGGCUAGUGAGUGGCCUUCCCCCAUCUCAGUGGGCCACAAGAUUGUCAAAACCACGAUGGUCCCUUGGGAUGGGGUAGUUUUGCUAACUGCACUGGCAUACUCAGAAUUUACAGGGUACGCCAACUGAACCACAACAGCAUUUUGGUUGGAUGCAAAGGGUGUGCACAGCUCUCACAAUCCAUGUUGUGUGCAAUCACCAUGCACCCCACUUCAGGUGCCCUUGCUUUACAGUCAUAUCAUUUUAGUAAUACCAGUCAGAUAAAAAUGGCAUGCACAGAAACCAGCAGAAUCUGGCAACCCUGCACGUGGCAACGAAUGUGUCUCAGGCCACACAAACAAGCUCGAUGAGCCACGUGUCUCUCAGUCCACAGGACGCCCACCACUGUGUUAAUGUGUACUUGUACAUUUUAUCAUUUAUGUUGUGCAAUUACUUAGAGACCCCGGCUGUGGACCAGGACCCGAUCGUGCUCGAUGGUAACACACAGCAUAGAAGACACUCCCUGUUUGAAGGCUUAUAACUGAAGCACGAGACAAGAGACAACAGAUGAGAUGUGAUGCUUCCUGAGAGUACCCAGAGUUUUGAGUGAAGAGGAAGAAAGAUCAGUGGUUAACACUUCAGGCUGCUGAUCCUCCGCCUCUGAUAGCUGGCCCUCCUCAGGAUCCGAAUGGUGUGACAGAUGAGUCGGGCUCUAAGGAGGCAUAGAAGGAUGAAGAGAGCAGCAUAGCUCUAUGACGGAGGGCAGUUGAGAGAAACUGGUGGGAGCCAGACCAUGUGUAGCAGGCAAAGGGCGUGAACAGCGCGAGACUCUACCACACAUGCGCAGUCCAGCUGACUACGGCUAUUGAAAAUCUCCAAUCUGUGGUGCUGGGACGAGCCCGACACCUACAGUGGAGCACCCACAGGGACACUACUUGAAGAAGAAUAGAAUUGCUGUGUAGAUACUUGCAUUGUUAUGAAAUAAUUGAUGUUUAUUUCAAAAUAACUGUGCUGUGUAGACACACCCUACGUAUAAGACUGCCUCCUUUGGUAGCUACAAUUUGUAACAAAAUAAUGUGCACAUAGAUUAGUUAUGAAGAUAUCGUUUAGUUUGCAGAUUCUGGUAAUGUAAACCACGAGAGCGAUGGCCCCAGCACCUGUUCCAUUCAACUAAUCCCCCUUGCCCUUGUGCGGACGUUAUCUUUACUUGCUAUGUCAUCUGCAUAAAUUGGUAAGCGCCUCUGGGCAGGGAUCUUCUCUCAUUUUCUCCCUCAGCACUAUAUAAAUAGCAAGUACAGGUUGUGAUACACAGUCCUGUGCUCAUUAUUCCAUCUGCCUUUGCUCGUUUAGAAGUCUCUCUUUCAGGACAGAACUGCCCUGCUUUUCAAGAGGCAGCUCCUUUUAUGCAGCUCGGUUUAGCGCAUCUGAACUCCCAGCUGUCACUAUGGUAACUCAAAUCCAUGGGGAAGCUGAAAUGUGUUGCUUAGCAACAGCCUCUUGACUGCAGCUGCUCCUUCAUUCCAUUGAAAUGGUAGAGAACUGGGACUUGUUGGAAUCUGAGUUCUCACCUGGGGGAUGAAAAGUCAAGGAUGAAUCAAGCUAGACAAGUAGGAGCAGGGCAGGAAUAAAUGCAGAUGCAAAUGUAUAGACAUUUAAAUACAGUAUCAUAAAAUGUUUGGAAUGAAGGACUGCACUUUUGGCUACCUCCUCAGCUUUCUCUGCAUCCACAUCAAGGUAUUACUCUGAAAGAGAUACCACAUCACAUAUCUCUCUUAUUCAUUUGCCUUUGUUUUACUCUUACAGGUUAGCUGAAGAUACAAAUACUCCAGCCUGGAUGUAUUUAAUCCAUGUAUUUACUCCCAGGCGUUUGCUCUGGCUCUGAGCAUACUGAUGCAGUGCUCUCUUUCAAUACAGAUUCACUUGUAAUUGGGCUAAUUUCAGAAGCAUUUUAAAUUAACUUGGAGCUGGUAGAAGGAGCAGAUUUGACAGCUUGAGAGUGAAAACAGCUUAUCCACACAACCAGUACAGUAUUGGGGAGCUA